GGCCCUGUGGAGCAGUUGGUUAGCUCGCCACCCUGUCAAGGUGGAGGUCGCGGGUUCAAGUCCCGUCAGGGUCGCCA
Molecule: transfer RNA, 77 nt
Filed under: Kitasatospora kifunensis
Lineage: Bacteria; Bacillati; Actinomycetota; Actinomycetes; Kitasatosporales; Streptomycetaceae
Also listed under: 14 other names
Description: tRNA-Asp
Rfam family: tRNA
About the family: Transfer RNA (tRNA) molecules are approximately 80 nucleotides in length.
Source: RNAcentral